AAGCAGGGCAGGAGAGCCGGCAGAGGAAGACAAGGCAGGCGAGGAAGUGGUGGUGCUGCUGACGAGGCAAACCGCAGCAGUGAUGGAGCUCUGCCUCUCUCCUGGCGUGAAUACUUGAUGAGGUUUACAGUGACAGGAGGAAGUAAGGCCAGAAAGUCACGCAUAGCAGAGGUGUAGGAAUAUCGUGGUUUGGACCUUUCACUUUCACGAAGAA
RNAcentral lists this long non-coding RNA (214 nucleotides) under Portunus trituberculatus (swimming crab). Its description in RNAcentral is "uncharacterized LOC123499531, transcript variant X2". Lineage: Eukaryota; Metazoa; Arthropoda; Malacostraca; Decapoda; Portunidae. The record is from RNAcentral.